CUCCUCAAGGAUUUCAGCUUCUCUUUCACUCUACUUGACUAUACAAAUCAAUCCUAAUUCCAAUUGAAUUUUCAACAUAAAAAAUCAGAGAAAUUAAAACCAAUUUUUACUCCCUUUUGCUCCUGCUCCGUGCGAACCACCACCACCCUCAGUGGCUGUUGCCACUGAAACCACCACCAAUCGCCAGCUCCUCCACCAUCUGAACACCAUCGCACCACCAUCAUCCCUCACCUCUCCUGCUAUUCUCCUCCCACGCACUCCCCUGCCUCGCUCUGUCUUUUCCCUUUUGCGGCACCACCAACGUCGCGCCACCACUCCUAACCUCCCCCACCACCUUGUAAACCAACUCCCGCCCCACAUACUCCGGCGAGAUGCCGCCCAGGACAGCCCUAGAACACUCCCAAACUCCCCUGAUUUCUCCCCUGUUCGCGCCCCUCUCCCCCUUCCCUCGCCUGUUUCUGCCGCCUCAAACCACCAUCACCGUCGCCUCUCGGCGCGGUUUCACCGCCCAGGCUGAGCCCCCAGCCUCCCUCCUCUCUUCCUCCUCCUCGUGUUCCUCCUGUUCGUGUUCCCCUGCUGCUCGUGCCCUUCAAUUUCAGAAACAAAGUUUCUGAAAUUGAAACUUUGUUUUAUUCCCCCUUAUUCAAGUUGGGCCAAAUCAAUUGGGCUUUGGAAAUUGGACUCGGAGUUCAGGAAGAACGAUCCAUCGAACAGGAAGUAUAAACUACGGUUGAGGUACGAAGAAGAUCAUGGGAUGCCUUAGAGUGAGGAUGCAACCAUCAAAUUCACGAUCGAUGUUUAAUAAAGAUAACUAUGUCAUUAGUAAUAAAGGGAUGUAUUAAUUAAACUCUAAGUUUGAUUUCACGAUUUGAGUUAGAUUUUUAAAU
Long non-coding RNA from Spinacia oleracea (spinach), 887 nucleotides. RefSeq lists it as uncharacterized. NCBI's taxonomy places the organism in Eukaryota, Viridiplantae, Streptophyta, Magnoliopsida, Caryophyllales, Amaranthaceae. The record is from RefSeq and is a predicted model, not a curated record. The transcript is spliced from 3 exons.